GUGUCAGCAGCCGCGGUAAUACGGAGGGUGCAAGCGUUGUCCGGAAUCACUGGGUGUAAAGGGUGUGUAGGUGGGUCUGUAAGUCAGAGGUGAAAGCCUGCGGCUUAACCGUAGAAUUGCCUUUGAUACUGCAGAUCUUGAGUCCUGGAGAGGCCGCCGGAAUUCGUGGUGUAGUGGUGAAAUGCGUAGAUAUCACGAGGAACACCAGAGGUGUAGACGGGUCACUGGACGGGUACUGACGCUGAGGCACGAAAGCGUGGGGAGCAAACAGGAUUAGAUACCCUGGUAGUCCACGCCGUAAACGAUGGAUGCUCGAUGCUGCGGCGUUUUUGCUGCAGUGUCCAAGCUAACGCAUUAAGCAUCCCACCUGGGGAGUACGCUCGCAAGAGUGAAACUCAAAGGAAUUGGCGGGG
This 413-nucleotide ribosomal RNA is filed under the name uncultured prokaryote. RNAcentral's name for it is "bacterial SSU rRNA". It matches the Rfam family "Bacterial small subunit ribosomal RNA", at positions 505 to 918 of the family's 1533-position model. The record is from RNAcentral.